This 41-nucleotide transfer RNA is filed under the name Eucalyptus globulus. Its description in RNAcentral is "partial tRNA-Phe". It matches the Rfam family "tRNA", at positions 1 to 40 of the family's 71-position model. From Rfam's summary of the family: Transfer RNA (tRNA) molecules are approximately 80 nucleotides in length. Their secondary structure includes four short double-helical elements and three loops (D, anti-codon, and T loops). Lineage: Eukaryota; Viridiplantae; Streptophyta; Magnoliopsida; Myrtales; Myrtaceae. The record is from RNAcentral. RNAcentral also lists the same sequence under 31 other names.
GUCGGGAUAGCUCAGCUGGUAGAGCAGAGGACUGAAAAUCC